UACGUAGGGUGCGAGCGUUAUCCGGAAUUACUGGGUGUAAAGGGUGCGUAGGCGGCUAUUUAAGUCAGAUGUGAAAACUCAGGGCUCAACCUUGAGGCUGCAUCUGAAACUGAGUAGCUAGAGUGUGGGAGAGGAAAGUGGAAUUCCGAGUGUAGCGGUGAAAUGCGUAGAGAUUCGGAGGAACACCAGUAGCGAAGGCGGCUUUCUGGACCAUAACUGACGCUGAGGCACGAAAGCGUGGGGAGCAAAC
RNAcentral lists this ribosomal RNA (250 nucleotides) under uncultured prokaryote. RNAcentral describes it as "partial 16S ribosomal RNA". It matches the Rfam family "Bacterial small subunit ribosomal RNA", at positions 524 to 773 of the family's 1533-position model. The record is from RNAcentral.